GAUGAAGAACGUAGCGAAAUGCGAUAAGUAAUGUGAAUUGCAGAAUUCAGUGAAUCAUCGAAUCUUUGAACGCACAUUGCGCCCGCCAGUAUUCUGGCGGGCAUGCCUGUCCGAGCGUCAUUUCAACCAUCAAGCCCCCGGCUUGUGUUGGGGACCUGCGGCUGCCGCAGGCCCUGAAAAGCAGUGGCGGGCUCGCUGUCACACCGAGCGUAGUAGCAUACAUCUCGCUCUGGGCGUGCUGCGGGUUCCGGCCGUUAAACCACCUUCAUAACCCAAGGUUGACCUCGGAUCAGGUAGGAAGACCCGCUGAACUUAAGCAUAUCAAUAAGCGGAGGA
This 336-nucleotide unclassified non-coding RNA is filed under the name soil metagenome. RNAcentral's name for it is "partial contains 5.8S ribosomal RNA, internal transcribed spacer 2, and large subunit ribosomal RNA". The stretch from base 1 to 120 matches the Rfam family "5.8S ribosomal RNA", at positions 35 to 154 of the family's 154-position model. The record is from RNAcentral.